This is a long non-coding RNA of Ruditapes philippinarum (Manila clam), 565 nucleotides long. RefSeq lists it as uncharacterized. The record is from RefSeq and is a predicted model, not a curated record. The transcript has 3 exons. NCBI's taxonomy places the organism in Eukaryota, Metazoa, Mollusca, Bivalvia, Venerida, Veneridae.
UUAUCAAGAAAAUUUGCGUUACAAUCUUUUUCCGGAUAUUCAAAAUUAGCGCUUAAACAAAUAAAGUUGGAGAUAAUUUUUCACUUUCUAUAAACGCUUUUAAUAUUAGUAAAUAUGUUUUGUUGUUUGUUGUUUUAUUUUUUAGUUCUUUAUGGAUAAUAUUAAUUAAUUAAUUGAUAUUAUUCAAAACCCCGUUUAUAAAAUAACGCUGGUCAGGGGAAGUAAUUGUUGCGGUCCCUGAUUUUGUUUGUUGUCUAUGAUUAUCGUUCGUGCAAAUGGGGGCGCUGUUUCGAAAUUUGAAAAACAACACGAUUCGGCAAUUUAUUUGGAUUUCGGAGAUCCUGGUCCCGGCUGAAAUUUAGAGUAUUGGCACUAUUGCAGCUGUAGCCUGUAAACCAUACAUUCAACAUGAAAAGGACUGUCAGGAUGCUGCAUAAAAUGGUCUUAGCUAGAGCCUAGAAUGAUAAUUUCUUGGUAAUAUGCUGCAAGUAAAUGACAUGGAGCAGUUUUUCUUACCAAUCAUUCACGAAUUCGAAAACCUAGCUAAACGCCAUUUUCCGGUACA